This is a microRNA precursor of Sarcophilus harrisii (Tasmanian devil), 150 nucleotides long. Ensembl annotates it as sha-mir-202. Its record names the gene sha-mir-202. Lineage: Eukaryota; Metazoa; Chordata; Mammalia; Dasyuromorphia; Dasyuridae. The record is from Ensembl.
ACCCAGCUCAGAAUGGCUCGUGGUUCCUUUUUCCUAUGCAUAUACUUCUUUGAGAAUAAAUUCUAAAGAGGCGUAGGGCAUGGGAAAAUGGGGCCACGGAGCUCCUCCUCCUCGUCUUCCUCGGGACUUCGGCUUCCUCCUCAGCGCCCU